RNAcentral lists this ribosomal RNA (455 nucleotides) under uncultured bacterium. Its description in RNAcentral is "bacterial SSU rRNA". It matches the Rfam family "Bacterial small subunit ribosomal RNA", at positions 340 to 786 of the family's 1533-position model. The record is from RNAcentral.
UACGGGAGGCAGCAGUGGGGAAUAUUGCACAAUGGGCGCAAGCCUGAUGCAGCCAUGCCGCGUGUAUGAAGAAGGCCUUCGGGUUGUAAAGUACUUUCAGUCGUGAGGAAGGUGUUAAGGUUAAUAACCUUAGCGAUUGACGUUAGCGACAGAAGAAGCACCGGCUAACUCCGUGCCAGCAGCCGCGGUAAUACGGAGGGUGCGAGCGUUAAUCGGAAUUACUGGGCGUAAAGGGCACGCAGGCGGUUAAUUAAGUUGGAUGUGAAAUCCCCGGGCUUAACCUGGGAAUGGCAUUCAAGACUGGUUAGCUAGAGUCUUGUAGAGGGGGUAGAAUUCCAUGUGUAGCGGUGAAAUGCGUAGAGAUGUGGAGGAAUACCGGGUGGCGAAGGCGGCCCCUGGGACAAAGACUGACGCUCAUGUGCGAAAGCGUGGGGAGCAAACAGGGAUUAGAUACC